CCUCGCCGGUCGCCGCGGCAGCCAGUGAUGCCCGAGCGGCGGGUUCCCAGGCCCAGGUGUGGGCGCCACCGCCCACCAUGCGCCAAGCCCAGAGCCUGGUUGAAUCGUUCGCCACCUUGUCUACCCAUUUUGGCCAUUAUCCUGCCACCUCCAAAUCCUGUUUUUGACACUUCUCGGGAGAGAGAGAAAACGGAAAGAUAAAGGAAUAAACUCCUCGUGGUCGUAGUUAGUGGGUAAAUUCAGAUCUCGUUUGAACCGAGGUUUUUCUUAUCUCCAGCCACCGUAUCCACCACCACCAGAAUCGUCUUUUUAGUCAUCACAGCUGGUCGCCGUCAGUACCUUGUUCAGAAGCCUCUCGCAGCUUCCAUCGUGUGGUUAUACAAUCCAAAUUCCUUAUAAAGUCCAAAUUCAAGAGGAGGAAUGCACGUUUAGUUAAGUUAAUGUCUAGACCUUACCAGCCAAUUUCUAGCUCCUCAGUAUGGAAAUUGCAACUGAAAACACCCCUUCCAAAAAAAGCAGUCUGCAUUUUUCUCUGAGUUUUCUUCUCCAAAUUUCGCACCCCUGACCUUGCUUACACACUCUGGAUACCACCUGCUGUGGAGUGGCGGAAGCAGACAUCCAGCGAUAGCUAAGUUUCCUGUCGUUGACACCCAAGCAAGACAGGCGUGUACCUAACUGAGGACCUGCCGGUGAUAGAAGUCUCAGCUUUUCUCAGAGACAGAUGAGUCUUCCCUUUAAAUGCUGCAAAGUGCUGCAUAGUAGAUGUUAAAUGAAAGUCAGAAAGAAUCAAAUGUGCUGCAAAUAAUUGAAGUUCAACCCAAUGGAAAUAGAUUAAAAGAGUGAAAGUCACUGGUCUCAAAGAAUCUACGGAAUUCAGCAUUUUGGAAAUCACAUAGCAAUUUUGGGUAGGUAUUCACAUGCACUAAAAAACCAGGCAAACAUCCGACUCCCAGGAUAAAGUGACUGAGAGCAGUAGAAGACUUGUUGAGCCGUAAGGAAUAAGAGGAAAAUUAUGUUAUGAAGUGCAGGAACAGCACAGACCCAGACGAGGGGAUGCAGCCCAGAGCCAGUAACCCGGUGCCUCCUCCUCCCCAGGAAGCAGCGCUGGCUGAUCCCCAGAUACCAUGAUCACACCGUCCCAGGUCCUGAGAGCGCCUCAUAGGUAGACAGUUCUUUGGGACUUUUGGGACGCAGCACUUGAAGAGAGGUCUACCUAAACUUUCCUCCUGGGAGCCUGUGAUCAUUUGAAAGUAACAGAAGAAAGUUGUCAGGCUGAGGAAAGUUUCAACAGGCACUUGGUGAGAAUGGGAAGCAUCCAUUCAUUGCGAAAUCGCGGGGACAGAGGAGGAAUUCACGGGAUCAGAGCACUGAGAAACUCCAGAGGCUUCUGGUUCACCGCCCUGAUUCCACAGAUGUGGGUCAGAGGCAGAGAUGGAAGUUGGAAUGGACAAGCCUGCCCUCUCAUCGGCUCUCCAUGGCUCUGUCCUCAGGCUGUUUCUGCAAUUUGACAUGAGGCCUGGCCCCAGGGAAACCAGUGGGGCCUCAUCUCCUCCCUGUGCUGCUCUGAGAUGGAGUCUUCUCAGGGUCAGUCCAGCUCUGGAGCCCCUCUCCAGCUCGGUCACCAAAGCUGUCUGGUCCCAGGGCGGUGCUGAGUGACAGGCACACCAGCCAGUCCAAUUGGCCAUUUCAUACCCAAUGCAUGUGACUGAUAAAGAGAUAACACCCUGUCUCCAAGACACAGGCUUUACAUAAACAGCUUUAAUGACCUCUUCACCUAGAGACAAGACUCCUUAGUGGUGGAACCUCAGGCAUCCGUGCAGGAUGUAAGAAAGCUCCCGUAUAUACAUGAACUGAGAAGUGUGUAGAAGAAUAAAUACUGUAAUAGGUAAUAAAAUGUAUGUAUUUUUAUUUA
Molecule: long non-coding RNA, 1912 nt
Filed under: Homo sapiens (human)
Lineage: Eukaryota; Metazoa; Chordata; Mammalia; Primates; Hominidae
Description: HSALNT0324888
Source: RNAcentral